This 483-nucleotide ribosomal RNA is filed under the name uncultured bacterium. Its description in RNAcentral is "partial 16S ribosomal RNA". It matches the Rfam family "Bacterial small subunit ribosomal RNA", at positions 30 to 506 of the family's 1533-position model. The record is from RNAcentral.
AUUGAACGCUGGCGGCAGGCCUAACACAUGCAAGUCGAGCGGAUGAAGGAAACUUGCUCCUGGCUUCAGCUGCGGACGGGUGAGUAAUGCCUAGGAAUCUGCCUGGUCGUGGGGGCUAACGUCCGGAAGCGAGCGCUGAUACCGCAUACGUCCUGAGUGAGAACGUGGUGGAUCUUCGGACCUCACGCUAUCAGAUGACCCUAGGUCAUAUUAGCUAGUUGGUAUGGUAACGUCUUACCAAGGCGACGAUGCAUAGCCGACCUGCGAGGCUGAUCGGCCACACUGGAACUGGGACACGUUCCAGCCUCCUACGGGAGGCAGAGGUGGGAAAUCUUCCGCAAUGGGCGAAAGCCUGACGGAGCAACGCCGCGUGAGUGAUGAAGGUCUUCGGAUCGUAAAACUCUGUUAUUAGGGAAGAACAUAUGUGUAAGUAACUGUGCACAUCUUGACGGUACCUAAGCAGAAAGCCACGGCUAACUACGU